RNAcentral lists this long non-coding RNA (909 nucleotides) under Panax ginseng (ginseng). RNAcentral describes it as "long non-coding RNA (PGIN_LNC015427)". The record is from RNAcentral. Lineage: Eukaryota; Viridiplantae; Streptophyta; Magnoliopsida; Apiales; Araliaceae.
AUUAUCCUUGUUUAUUUCUAUUCAACCUAGUGUGGCCACAGAUCCACCUUUACAUUCUGAUUUCAGCAACUCUAAUCUUCUGCAUAUGUUGUUUCUAGGUCGCCGACAUUCAACCCUAUAUUAUUUUUAUUUCCCUUUUUUGGGCGGAGGGAUGUGGUUUUGAAACUUUUAAGUCGGCGCUAAACAUAUAGUUAGAAUAUCUAAUUUUCUCCAAGGUUAUGGUUGGGUUAAGGCUAGGAAAAUAAAUAUUAAAUUUUUUGGCUUUCAAACAUGAUAGCUUCCAUUUUAUAAUGCCAAAUUUUAUUGGUAGGAAGCUUCCAUGUGUAUGUCCUAUCCAUAGUUGUUAUGGCGUCGCCUAGGCGACGCCUUGGCGUCCCGGCGAUAAAGAAAGUCCAAGGCGUACGACGACUUAAGUCAGUGCUUCCAAGGCGACCGCCUAGGCAGCUCGGCGUCUCACGGCAUCGCCUAAGCGACGCCAUAAGACGCCGAGCUGCCUAGGCGGUCGCCUUGGAAGCACUGACCCAACUGAUUUUUAUGGGCUAACCCAUGACCCAUCAAAUAAAAAACAAGAAAAAACCCUUACUUGCAGAAAAAAUAGGAGAAGUCGAUUGCGAAUCGCGAAGAAGACCCAUCGCGAACUAGGAUCUGACGAACUCCAUCCUCUGCAGUCCCAACUUCGCAGCCCAUCAUCGCAGUGAGAGCGAGAGGCGACUUCGACUUCGCAGCCCAUCAUCGCAGCGAGAGGCGACGACUAUGGCUACGACGCUUCCGACCAACCAGCUUCGUGCCUCCGACGACGACGUUCUUCUUCUCUUCUCUUCUCCUCUGUUUCUGGACUUCUCUUCUCUUUCUCCUCUGACUGAUUCUCUUCUCUUUCUCCUCUGUUUCUUUUUUUCCCCUAGUUUUUCU